Molecule: long non-coding RNA, 541 nt
Organism: Myotis daubentonii (Daubenton's bat)
Lineage: Eukaryota; Metazoa; Chordata; Mammalia; Chiroptera; Vespertilionidae
Source: RefSeq, a predicted model, not a curated record
UCCAGCGCGGCGGAGAAAGGCUGAGGAGAGGCGGGUACGGUGGCUCCCGUGGUCCAAAUCCUGUCGUCUCGCGUUACCUCGCCACGGCGCCCGCGGAGAAUGCUUCCGACUCUGGAUACCCAGGGCUGGCAGGAAAACGCGGCAAUCAGUGAAGAAUAACGUCUCACAACGAAGAGGUUAGGAGGAAGGGAGAGAGAAACAUCAAUGAUGAGAGAGAAUCAUUGAUUGGCUGCCUUCUGCACACCCCACAUUGGGGGUCGAACCCACAAUCUGGGCAUGUGCCCUGACUGGGAAUCAAACCCUGACCUCCUAGUGCAACCACUGAGCCACGCCAGCCGGAAAUGGAAAUUCUGAUUCUCAAAUGCAUAUGGCAAUCAAGGGGCCCCAAAUAGCCAAACAAUCUUGGAAAGAACAAAUUUAGAGAUUUUGUUAAAUCACUCUUGAUUUAAAAACUUACUACAGCCCUGACCGGCGUGGCUCAGUGGAUAGAACGUCGGCCUGUGGACUGAAGGGUCCCAGGUUCGAUUCCGGUCAAGGGCAG